AAAGAGAAUAUCAACCGUUGAA
Molecule: non-coding RNA, 22 nt
Filed under: Arabidopsis thaliana (thale cress)
Lineage: Eukaryota; Viridiplantae; Streptophyta; Magnoliopsida; Brassicales; Brassicaceae
Source: RNAcentral